This 425-nucleotide ribosomal RNA is filed under the name uncultured bacterium. RNAcentral describes it as "partial 16S ribosomal RNA". It matches the Rfam family "Bacterial small subunit ribosomal RNA", at positions 354 to 796 of the family's 1533-position model. The record is from RNAcentral.
GUUAGGAAUAUUGGACAAUGGGCGCAAGCCUGAUCCAGCCAUGCCGCGUGAGUGAUGAAGGCCUUCGGGUUGUAAAGCUCUUUAGUCCACGAAUAUAAUGACUGUAGUGGAAGAAUAAGCCCCGGCUAACUUCGUGCCAGCAGCCGCGGUAAUACGAAGGGGGCGAGCGUUAUUCGGAAUCACUGGGCGUAAAGCGUGCGUAGGCUGGUUUGUAAGUCAGAAGUGAAAGCCCAGGGCUUAACACUGGAAUUGCUUUUGAAAAUACAAGACUCGAAUUCGGGAGAGGAUAGCGGAAUUGUCAGUGUAGCAGUGAAAUGCGUAGAUAUUGACAGGAACACCAGUGGCGCAAGCGGCUAUCUGGACCGAUAUUGACGCUGAGGCACGAAAGCGUGGGGAGCAAACAGGAUUAGAUACCCUAGUAGUCC